This 1279-nucleotide long non-coding RNA is filed under the name Apteryx owenii (little spotted kiwi). RNAcentral's name for it is "lncRNA (ENSAOWG00000017557.1)". Lineage: Eukaryota; Metazoa; Chordata; Aves; Apterygiformes; Apterygidae. The record is from RNAcentral.
AAAUUGGGAGAGCAAUAGUAUUGGUAAAAAUGUCAUUGUCACCUAGGGUAGAAAUAUUACUUACAUUUCUAAGCCUUUUCUGAUUUCAUUCUUGCUAGAACAGUGUUUCAACCUAUAAAAAGCAGACUCUUUGCAAAAUUUAUAACCACAUUGAGAAGCACGUCACUUCAGAGAAGCAACGUAAAACUGUGUGAAAUACUAAUGUUUAAAUGCUCUUUCAAAAACAUUUAUUGUCAUUCUGACUGAACUGGAGGGAGAAGGCAGACGAAAAGUUUGUAAUAGCUACUUGCCUGAGUUGGUAGUGUCUGAAUAUGGGAUUUUGCCUAGUUUAUUUUAAGUCUGCACAGCUAGCAGCUGGAGUAUGUCCCACAUGCUAACACUUGGAAUUCCCCUGGGAGAAGGUUUGUUUCAAAUGCAACAUCAGCCCUCCAAAGCCAGUCUUCUUGCUGUUUUAUUAAAUUUACACACUUCUUCAAUGCAUUUUCAAUGAUAACGCACCUAUACUGAGCAAUCGAACCUACUAGCCUACUUAAUACAAACCGUUUUUUGAUUUAAAUGCAAUCUAUUAACAAUAUCUACUUGCACACACACACACCCCUGCCAGAUACUGAACAGAUGCAGCCUUGCAGACUUGCACAGCAGCUGUGACAACAACUGAUGUCACCUCCUUUGCAGAAAUUUCCACAAAUGUCUUCCAAAGGCCAAGUUAAAUGAGAUAGAGCUUAUCAGUUUCUUUAAAGUGGCCUGGAUGAGCCUGGCCCACGUGACCCCUUGCUUGGCCACGGGGGUGUGGUAUGUCACAGCUCCCCUAUCAGCUGGCACAUGGCUGUGGGAGAUAUGAGACAGCAGAAAAGUAGCAGUAAUAACAUUGCUGCGACUGCCGAAGGCAGGAGGAAUACGCUGAGUAGCUUCAGUCUGCGCACACUUACUUUUCGGAAAACAGGUUCUACCAGAAUGUCUACAUGGGCCUGUUAACACAGAGGAGAGCCUUAAGUUCUUACCUCAAGUUAGUUACCAUAUAUUAGUUGAUGGAUGUUGGUAAUGCACCUUUUUUCUUAGUGAAUACGCCACUUCAGUUCCUGAAUUUAUAUGCACUUACCUCUCCUGAUGUCACCAUUCCACUGGGCUUCAGUAACAGAGUUUCCCUCAGUAAACAUUUCUGAUUUUCAAAGGCUGUAUAUAUGCAGGGGAACAAAAAACAGAAAAAAAAAAAUCCUUUGAGCAAAGACAGACACUUUUCAGGCCUUUUUUUAUACUUCAGAAUUUAGAGGGUUGCUUU